Molecule: long non-coding RNA, 609 nt
Organism: Nyctereutes procyonoides (raccoon dog)
Lineage: Eukaryota; Metazoa; Chordata; Mammalia; Carnivora; Canidae
Exons: 3
Source: RefSeq, a predicted model, not a curated record
UCUACAUUCAUUCAUUCAGCAAGUAUUUAUUGAGAACCUGGCUUUUUUCCAGGCCCUGAACAAAUAGAGGCAGGCAAAACUGAGACCCUGUCCUGAUGGAGCUUACAUUUUCUGGGAGAAGACACACAUCACACAAAGAUUGAUUGUAGUCCACAGUGCUACCAAGAGAAACACAGCAAGAUAUAAUAGUUGAAGCUCCAGAAGCCAAUUGGAUAGUGAAAUGAUUUUGGAAAAAAUUGAAGCCAUACAAAACAAAGGUCGAAGGAGCCUGGUUCCCAAUCCACAGAGGUUGAUAUUGACCCUAGAGUGACCAACUAUCUCUGGGCUUCUUAACAGAAAUCUGCAGGUCAGUAUAGAAGUAGCAUGGUGCACCACAAUCAUCAAGGAGUAGAACUCCUUACAGCUUUGUGUGUUUGCCAUCCCUGGGCUGUGGCACUUGAUGACUGCUGGAGCUUCCCUUCUGAAGCAACUGGAAGAUGAAAGGUAAGUUGAAGGCUACACCUCUUCCUUUUUUAGGAGACUUUCUGUAAUUUUCACAGUUGCAUCUUUUUUUUUCUGCUUACAUCUAAUUGGCCAGUAGUCACAUGGCCAUACUCAGCUGCAAAAGAG